GAUUCAAAGCUGCGAGAGUGUCAAACAGCGCCAUCUGGUGGUUAGUGAAAAAAAUAACGACGUCAAAAGCCUGUGGAAGAAACUCCAUUGGAUGAAGCAGCCCAGGGGCGUAGCCAUCAUUUCAGUUGGGAGCUAUUAAAGACGGUGCUAACGCCAUGUGCAGUUCAGAAUAACUUGGCUUCAUACUCGGGCACUCUCCAGUCAAGAGAGCGGUUGUGCAAUAUGUCUUAACUUCUACAACAUGCAAGACAGACCUGUGGCUGCAUCUGUUAGAGCCAGCAGCAGAAGGAAGGAGAGAACAGCCAUCUUCCCUCACCGUGGUGUGUUUGAGCUCAG
This is a long non-coding RNA of Ictalurus punctatus (channel catfish), 336 nucleotides long. RefSeq lists it as uncharacterized. The record is from RefSeq and is a predicted model, not a curated record. The transcript is spliced from 3 exons. Lineage: Eukaryota; Metazoa; Chordata; Actinopteri; Siluriformes; Ictaluridae.